CGAAAGCUCCUUCGGGAGUGAGUAGAGUGGCGAACGGGUGAGUAAUACGUAGGAAUCUACCCAAGAGUGGGGGAUAACCCGGGGAAACUCGGGCUAAUACCGCAUACGCCCUACGGGGUAAAGCGGGGGACCUUCGGGCCUCGCGCUUUUGGAUGAGCCUACGCCGGAUUAGCUUGUUGGUAGGGUAAUGGCCUACCAAGGCGACGAUCCGUAGCUGGUCUGAGAGGAUGAUCAGCCACACUGGGACUGAGACACGGCCCAGACUCCUACGGGAGGCAGCAGUGGGGAAUAUUGGACAAUGGGGGCAACCCUGAUCCAGCCAUGCCGCGUGUGUGAAGAAGGCCUUCGGGUUGUAAAGCACUUUCAGAAGGGAAGAAAAGCCUGGGACUAAUACUCCCGGGUCUUGACGGUACCUUCAGAAGAAGCACCGGCUAACUCCGUGCCAGCAACCGCGGUAAUACGGAGGGUGCAAGCGUUAAUCGGAAUUACUGGGCGUAAAGCGCGCGUAGGUGGUUUGGUAAGUCGGAUGUGAAAGCCCUGGGCUCAACCUGGGAAUUGCAUUCGAAACUGCCUGACUAGAGUGUGGUAGAGGGAAGUGGAAUUCCGCAUGUAGCGGUGAAAUGCGUAGAGAUGCGGAGGAACACCAAUGGCGAAGGCAACUUCCUGGACCAACACUGACACUGAGGUGCGAAAGCGUGGGUAGCAAACAGGAUUAGAUACCCUGGUAGUCCACGCCGUAA
This 740-nucleotide ribosomal RNA is filed under the name uncultured Pseudomonadota bacterium. Its description in RNAcentral is "bacterial SSU rRNA". It matches the Rfam family "Bacterial small subunit ribosomal RNA", at positions 69 to 805 of the family's 1533-position model. Lineage: Bacteria; Pseudomonadati; Pseudomonadota. The record is from RNAcentral.